Molecule: long non-coding RNA, 347 nt
Filed under: Erythranthe guttata (spotted monkey flower)
Lineage: Eukaryota; Viridiplantae; Streptophyta; Magnoliopsida; Lamiales; Phrymaceae
Description: long non-coding RNA (EGUT_LNC001119)
Source: RNAcentral
UUUUAAAAAAGGGAAAAAAUCUUUAUACGGGAUACUCGUGUAUACAUACGUAAGUACGUGUACGUAUAGGUGGAGAGAGAAAGAAAGAGAGGAGAGAGAAAGCUAGAGAGAGAGAGAGAGAGUGGCCACUUGAGGGAAGGAGGGGAUGGGGUUAAAACAUACGGCGGGUAUCGUUUGUGGAGACGUAUAAAAAGAGGGGUUGUAGGCAGAAGAGACUCCGACGAACUGAGGAGAGCUAAUUUUCCCCUUUUUUCUCUCUCAUUACUCUUUUUUCAUUUUCCUUGGGGAGUGAAAAACCUCGUUCAAUGAAUCACUGAUUUUCUCUCUCUCUCUGUAUAUAUAUAUAU